This 301-nucleotide ribosomal RNA is filed under the name uncultured bacterium. Its description in RNAcentral is "partial 16S ribosomal RNA". It matches the Rfam family "Bacterial small subunit ribosomal RNA", at positions 509 to 807 of the family's 1533-position model. The record is from RNAcentral.
CAGCCGCCGCGGUAAUACGUAGGUGGCGAGCGUUGUCCGGAUUUAUUGGGCGUAAAGGGAGUGUAGGCGGUCUUUUAAGUCUGAUGUGAAAGCCCACGGCUCAACCGUGGAGGGUCAUUGGAAACUGGGAGACUUGAGUGCAGAAGAGGAGAGCGGAAUUCCAUGUGUAGCGGUGAAAUGCGUAGAUAUAUGGAGGAACACCAGUGGCGAAGGCGGCUCUCUGGUCUGUAACUGACGCUGAGGCUCGAAAGCGUGGGGAGCAAACAGGAUUAGAUACCCCGGUAGUCCCUGUCUCUUAUAC